RNAcentral lists this small RNA (618 nucleotides) under Arabidopsis thaliana (thale cress). Its description in RNAcentral is "ATSL216120". The record is from RNAcentral. Lineage: Eukaryota; Viridiplantae; Streptophyta; Magnoliopsida; Brassicales; Brassicaceae.
AUAUCUUAUAUAGAAAAAAGAACAACCUACGAAAACUAUUAGCUAAUCCACUAUACAAUUAUUUAAUUAUAUUUUAACUUAAAAUUAUAAAAAUUAGGGAAAAAUAUCUAAGAGUAUGAGAAAAUCAAUUAAAUAAUUUAAUUUAAGAAAAAGACAUACAAAAUAAAAGAAAAUUAUUAUUUAUACAAUUAAUUAUUUAAAAUUUUAUAAUAUAUACAAUUAAAUAAUAAAUCACUAUAAACCAUUAACUUACACUAAUUAUUAAGUGGACAUGUGGCAAAUUAAAAGCUAAGUGAUGAUGUGUCAUUCAUAUGAAGAGAGUUUGCCAAUUUUCAUAUAUAUGAUUACACCACAUAUAGAUAAUAUAUAAACUUAUGAUCUUUAUAUAUACAAUAUUUAUAAAAUUACCUACAUAUUUGUUAUUAUUAGUUAAUUUGUUAUUCUAAAUGAAAACUCAUGCUACGCAUGGGUUUUUGUUUUUAAAAUUGUCGGAAUAUAUGAUUAUGGUCUUUUGUUGAUUUUGAUGUUCAUUUUUGUGUGUGUGUUAAUGUGUAAGUAAUAAAGUCAUAUCUAUUUUAUAGAGUUAUAAUUUUUUAUAAUUAAAUUUUUCUAUAAUUC